RNAcentral lists this ribosomal RNA (553 nucleotides) under uncultured bacterium. RNAcentral describes it as "partial 16S ribosomal RNA". It matches the Rfam family "Bacterial small subunit ribosomal RNA", at positions 355 to 898 of the family's 1533-position model. The record is from RNAcentral.
UAGGGAAUCUUCCACAAUGGACGCAAGUCUGAUGGAGCAACGCCGCGUGAGUGAAGAAGGUCUUCGGAUCGUAAAGCUCUGUUGUUGGUGAAGAAGGAUAGAGGCAGUAACUGGUCUUUAUUUGACGGUAAUCAACCAGAAAGUCACGGCUAACUACGUGCCAGCAGCCGCGGUAAUACGUAGGUGGCAAGCGUUGUCCGGAUUUAUUGGGCGUAAAGCGAGCGCAGGCGGAAUGAUAAGUCUGAUGUGAAAGCCCACGGCUCAACCGUGGAACUGCAUCGGAAACUGUCAUUCUUGAGUGCAGAAGAGGAGAGUGGAACUCCAUGUGUAGCGGUGGAAUGCGUAGAUAUAUGGAAGAACACCAGUGGCGAAGGCGGCUCUCUGGUCUGCAACUGACGCUGAGGCUCGAAAGCAUGGGUAGCGAACAGGAUUAGAUACCCUGGUAGUCCAUGCCGUAAACGAUGAGCGCUAGGUGUUGGGGGACUUUCCGGUCCUCAGUGCCACAGCAAACGCAUUAAGCGCUCCGCCUGGGGAGUACGACCGCAAGGUUGAA